Molecule: ribosomal RNA, 331 nt
Filed under: uncultured eukaryote
Lineage: Eukaryota
Description: partial 18S ribosomal RNA
Rfam family: Eukaryotic small subunit ribosomal RNA
Source: RNAcentral
CCCUUAGAUGUUCUGGGCCGCACGCGCGCUACACUGACGAAGUCAGCGAGCAUGUCCUACGCCGACAGGUGCGGGGAAUCUUGUCAAACUUCGUCGUGAUGGGGAUUGAUUAUUGAACUUCUUGAUCAUCAACGAGGAAUUCCUAGUAAGCGCAAGUCAGCAGCUUGCGUUGAUUACGUCCCUGCCCUUUGUACACACCGCCCGUCGCUACUACCGAUUGAAUGGUUUAGUGAGAUCUUCGGAUUGGCGCCACUGCGGCUCAGCAAUGGGCUCGGUGGAUGCCGAAAAGUUGAUCAAACUUGAUCAUUUAGAGGAAGUAAAAGUCGUAACA